This 1173-nucleotide long non-coding RNA is filed under the name Oryza brachyantha (malo sina). RNAcentral describes it as "long non-coding RNA (OBRA_LNC000496)". The record is from RNAcentral. Lineage: Eukaryota; Viridiplantae; Streptophyta; Magnoliopsida; Poales; Poaceae.
CCAGCUUGCUAAUAAAUAAAAGAAAAUACUAGCAGCAGUACAAGAUAAGAAAGCAAGAGGAAUUUGAUUCGAUACUGGAAGAACAAGAAUCCAGCUACCAAAUCAAUCUCUCUCUGUCUCACUCCCUUAUCCUCUUAACCUCUUCACAAAGGGUUUGAUUUAUUAUUGUUUUUCUUUUUCUUUUGUUCAUGUGGGAACAUGCAUGUAUGACAGGGUGCAGGUGUCAGAUACGGAUGGGCACAAUACAAUGGGGAAGGAGGAUGCAAAGCAACAAAGCCAGCGUCAGGCCAGCCAGCAUAGAGCACGGUUUGUAUAUAUGUGCAUAUAUGAUUCAAACAUACUAGUGAUAUAUACAUGUGUACAUGUAUGCAUGCACUUGCUUCCAAGCCACACACACCAGAGGAAUAUCACACAGGCAGAAGCAAACAGGCCAGCAGCACAUCGAUCAUAGAUCACAUACAAACACGCAAUGCAAUGCAAUGUAAUGUAAUGCAGGAAGCAUCAAUGAAUGAAUGAAUGUGUGAUCUCUCUACCAAAGCAAACGAGCCACAAAUCCAGCCAGCAUGCAGUUGGCAGAUACUAGACACCCUGCCAACUUCCAAAGCAAGCUCACUCAGCUGCUAAUCCAGACAAAACCUGCAAAUUUAAUGCACUAACUAGUUGCUUGCUUGCUUGCAUGCAUGCAUGGCCCCAGCAGCAGCUCCAGCUAAGCUCAAGAAUGGAAAUUUAGGGUUACAAAUGUUCAUCCUUGAAAAGGGAAAGGGAAUGAAAUGUGAGGAGAAAAAAAGGGGGUUAGUGUCUGAUUAAUCCCAAACUGGUGAACAAGAAGAAAAAAGAAAAAAGAAGAAGAGGAGACAACCAAGAAACAAUGGAAGGAAAAGAAGAAUUCUAGAAAUGGGUCUCCUCCCAUACAUCGGAGUACAAUGUAGGUAAUAAUGGCGAAAUUUGGGGACCUUUUCACCAAAAAACUCUUCUCUUUUUUUUCUCUUUGGAAGUUCUCUAAUAGCUAGUCAUCGGCUCAGCGAAAAGGAUGCACAAUUGCGAGAAGGUCCCCCUACAAUUAGUGAAUUGCAGAGCUCGACUUCAGCGGCGGCGCCGGCGCCGGCGACGACUCGGGGGGCGGUGGUGGCGUCUCAUACGUAGCCGUUGCGGCUGAGGGGGAGGAGGGCGGAG